UGCGCCACCUCGGGGUGCCAGAUGUGACCAACAGCUGGCUGAGAUGCAAUCGUGUGAACCCGUUGAACCUGAACCGGUUAAGACCGGCGGAGGGAAGGUCUGGACAGUCUCC
Molecule: non-coding RNA, 112 nt
Filed under: Thalassovita taeanensis
Lineage: Bacteria; Pseudomonadati; Pseudomonadota; Alphaproteobacteria; Rhodobacterales; Roseobacteraceae
Description: Litorimicrobium taeanense TPP sequence
Rfam family: TPP riboswitch aptamer (THI element)
About the family: Vitamin B(1) in its active form thiamin pyrophosphate (TPP) is an essential coenzyme that is synthesised by coupling of pyrimidine and thiazole moieties in bacteria.
Source: Rfam by way of RNAcentral